Mastomys coucha (southern multimammate mouse) is the source of this 1182-nucleotide long non-coding RNA. RefSeq lists it as uncharacterized. The transcript has 3 exons. NCBI's taxonomy places the organism in Eukaryota, Metazoa, Chordata, Mammalia, Rodentia, Muridae. The record is from RefSeq and is a predicted model, not a curated record.
UGCCACCACUGCCCGGUUAGAUUUUUUUCUUUUUAUUCACAUGUUUUUUUUCUCCUACAUGUAUGUAUAUGCAACACAUUCUGCCCCCAUGCAUUCAGAGAUUAGAAGAAGUCACUGUUGAAGCUCCUAAUGGUGUAUAUUCCCUAAACGAUGGGAAUCAGGGUGCUGGGUGGCAGAUGCAAUCUUGUUGGGAGUAUUCGAUCCUUUACACAGAUGGCUUGUCCUCUGUGUCCCUUGCCUUCUUUCAUGCAUUCCCUCUUGUUUUUGUCUCUUCUCUCUCCCACAAUCAAGAUGCGGGACCAAUUGUCCCCAAGAUCUCGGGUCUAGAGAGAAGCCAGAAGAACCAGGACUGUUGCAAAGAGCCCGUCUUUGAACCCAUGGUGCUCAAAAACCCACACCCUCAGCUCCCUCAGCUACCAUCCCUGCCCCAGGUCGAGACUCAGCUCCAGAUUCCAUCUCCAGACCCGGACUUGGUACCGCGCACCGAAGCUCCUCCCCAGUUCCCUCCUCCAAGUACACAGCCAGUCCAAGGACCCCCUGAAGCCAAACUGCAGCCUGCCCUGCUGCCUCAGGUGCAGCGGCCUCCCAGGCUUCAGUCCCCAGCCAUCUUCUCCAGCAGACCCUUCCAUCUGUGCAGUCACAUCCCUCCUCCCAGAGCCUCUCGAAGUUGCUUGUAGGCCUACAACAGCAGUAGCCUGAGCCUCAACAGCUUAAGCAGCAGCAGAAGCAGUAAUCCAGCAAAAACCCAGCCUGCCCCUCCUCACAUCUCCCACCACCCGUCUGCCUCCCCCUUCCCUCUCUCCCUGCUCAACCACAGCCCUCUACACAGCUUCACACCCAUCCUCCAUCCCCCUGCCCACUCACAUCACCCCAACAUGUUCGCUCCUCCCACUGCUCUGCCUCCUCCCCCACGGCUGAUGAUUGGAAGUCUGCAGGUGCCAGAGCAUCCAGCCUGGAGCAUGUACACAGAAUAAGAUAUCCUGAGGCAGGAACUGAACAUGCGUUUCCUGGCCUCUCAGAGUGCCAACUGAGGGGCAUCUCGGAAUCUCACAAUACUUCUUAUGUAGAGUAAGACUUAUUCGUCUUGAUGCUUGUGAUCCAUAUCCUUAUUCCUUCUUUCCUUCCUUCCUUCCUUCCUUCCUUCCUUCCUUCCUUCCUUCCUUCCUUUCUCCCUCCCUCUCU